RNAcentral lists this ribosomal RNA (569 nucleotides) under uncultured Alphaproteobacteria bacterium. RNAcentral describes it as "partial 16S ribosomal RNA". Lineage: Bacteria; Pseudomonadati; Pseudomonadota; Alphaproteobacteria. The record is from RNAcentral.
CGUUGGGAGCUCUCCCAUAUGGUCGACCUGCAGGCGGCCGCGAAUUCACUAGUGAUUCGUAUUACCGCGGCUGCUGGCACGGAGUUAGCCGGAGCUUAUUCUCCCGGUACUGUCAUUAUCAUCCCGGGUAAAAGAGCUUUACAACCCUAAGGCCUUCAUCACUCACGCGGCAUUGCUGGAUCGGGCUUUCGCCCAUUGUCCAAUAUUCCCCACUGCUGCCUCCCGUAGGAGUCUGGGCCGUGUCUCAGUCCCAGUGUGGCUGAUCAUCCUCUCAGACCAGCUAAGGAUCGUCGCCUUGGUGCGCCUUUACCACACCAACUAGCUAAUCCUACGCGGGCUCAUCCCUCGGCGAUAAAUCUUUGGACUUACGUCGUCAUCCGGUAUUAGCAGUCAUUUCUAACUGUUAUUCCGAACCAAGGGGCAGAUUCCCACGCGUUACGCACCCGUGCGCCACUAAGGCCGAAGCCUUCGUUCGACUUGCAUGUGUUAGGCAUGCCGCCAGCGUUCGUUCUGAGCCAUGAUCAAACUCUAAUCGAAUUCCCGCGGCCGCCAUGGCGGCCGGGAGCAUG